CUUAACAUGCAGUCGAACGGCAGCACGGGGGCAACCCUGGUGGCGAGUGGCGAACGGGUGAGUAAUACAUCGGAACGUGUCCUGUAGUGGGGGAUAGCCCGGCGAAAGCCGGAUUAAUACCGCAUACGCUCUACGGAGGAAAGGGGGGGAUCUUAGGACCUCUCGCUACAGGGGCGGCCGAUGGCAGAUUAGCUAGUUGGUGGGGUAAAGGCCUACCAAGGCGACGAUCUGUAGCUGGUCUGAGAGGACGACCAGCCACACUGGGACUGAGACACGGCCCAGACUCCUACGGGAGGCAGCAGUGGGGAAUUUUGGACAAUGGGGGCAACCCUGAUCCAGCAAUGCCGCGUGUGUGAAGAAGGCCUUCGGGUUGUAAAGCACUUUUGUCCGGAAAGAAAACCGCCGCCCUAAUAUGGUGGUGGGAUGACGGUACCGGAAGAAUAAGCACCG
This 450-nucleotide ribosomal RNA is filed under the name Burkholderia sp. BSF1(12). RNAcentral describes it as "bacterial SSU rRNA". It matches the Rfam family "Bacterial small subunit ribosomal RNA", at positions 47 to 495 of the family's 1533-position model. The record is from RNAcentral. Lineage: Bacteria; Pseudomonadati; Pseudomonadota; Betaproteobacteria; Burkholderiales; Burkholderiaceae.